Molecule: long non-coding RNA, 1226 nt
Organism: Lycium barbarum (goji berry)
Lineage: Eukaryota; Viridiplantae; Streptophyta; Magnoliopsida; Solanales; Solanaceae
Exons: 3
Source: RefSeq, a predicted model, not a curated record
UUUACUAUCUAUCUAUCUAUCUAUCUACUUCUAUCUACUACUAGUCUAUAUAAUAUUAUAAUCUAUCUGUACGUAAUAGGAGAGGCAAAAGAAGGAUAGGAUGACAAGUGUUAUCACCACAAAAAUCAAAAUUUAAAAGUAUAAAAUAAAAAUAAAUAAAACUGCAAUGAUCAAAUUAUUCAGCAAAAAAGUAAAAAUAAAAAUAAGAUAACUGGAAAUUCAAAAACCCGUACAACAAAUUAGAUAACUGCACACCAUAUUGUCAAAAAAAUAAUUAAUAAAAACCCACGUUUGCAAAAUUUCAGUUAACUGUACAACACAUCUUUGUAAAAUAAAAAAUAAAAAAUAAAAAUAAUAGAUAGCUGCAAUCAGAAAGUUAUUAACAUUACGCGCAGAUGGCCGGCCAUUCUCUCCCAUUUCUCCCUUUCUUUCUUUUCCUCCACACUUGCGACUGCAUUUCAAUCCUUUCCACCGGCGUUCCAGCCUCCAAUUUGCCCAGUAUUCUGUUUUUAGAUGGUGGCUGUGAGGCGGUGAAGAAGGAGAGGCAACAAAGGGGCUGACAGUAAUGGCUUGUAAACUGUGGAGUUUUGUGAUCGUUGUUCAAUGGAGGAGGGACAAUUGGGUUAUUUUGGUGAAGAUGAUGAAUAAGUGGCUGAAUUCCAAUCUUCAUUGUAGCAUAUGUGUGAGAAAAAGAAGAUCCAAAAUGGUGAAUUGUUCUCCAACAAAAAAAUUAAUGAAGAAUCUCUCAAAUUUUCACCCACAGAUGUGCAAAUAUCGUUGUACGCCAAAAUAAAAUUUUCCACUUUUUAAGGUAAUUAUCGACUUCCCUUUUAAAUUUAUUAUGUCUUUGACUUACAUAUGUGCAUAUGGGGAACGACAAAGCAAUUACUUCAUCUUCUUCAGAGAUGAAGUUCCACAUAAAGAAUCUGCCUACUGGAUGCCAAAAGAAGCUCGGAUCGAUGACGACUAGAAACUUCGAGAUUUUUUGACAAAAGCAACAUAGUGAGUAUUACUAGCUUCUACACCAUCUAUUGCUUCUUACAUCUCUAGGAUGUAAUCUCUGAUUUUCUGGGUAGCUUGAGUUUACUGAUGUGAGAAAGUUGUUUACCUAUUUAAUGGCUUAUUUAUAAUUCUAAAGAUUUGAGAUUCUGUUUAUGGUUCUUUUGUAAUCUUAAGACAGUGAACGUUACUAUCUUAAUUCUUUACUAUCAUUGCCUUUAAAGAUA